CAGGACUCCUUUGGACUGAAUGAUCAGAGGCCUCUCUGAGGAAGUGACAUCAUGUUAGAAUGUGUUGAAGUUGACCAUGCGGAGAAGUGGGAAGGAACAUAGGGGGGUCCAAAUAGAAAGACCCUGUGAUAAGACACAGUUGACCUUUUAAACGGACAUAAUGGAGACAAGUACUUCCAUACUUCACAGACCUACCUGGAGCAUGGUGAGGACGGGGGAGAUGCAGGAAACACCUGCAGAUUAGGCAGGAGGAAGGUUCUGGAGAAGCCUUGCUGCCUUGUCAAAAGGGGCAAACGUAAGCCUUUGAAAGUAUCCACGGUAUCCAUGAUUUUGAAAAGAUCAUAGAACGAAAUGGAGGGGACUCCACCUCCAAACUACUGUUUUGCCAAGUUGCCUGUCUGAAUACCAUCUGUGUACAGAUGAGGGAUUAUUUAUGACUCAGUGAGUUGCUAGAAGGACCACAAUAUCUUUGUUUGGGUCUGCAUUUUCAAGCCUCCAUGGAACAGGCUGGCAUCGUUCCUGGUGGUCCACGUUUAACGUUCUGUUGGUGCAUCGUUUGAGACUCUUAACCAGCCACGUAUGUUACCAUCUGAAGAUAUUUGGCACAGCAUUAUUUAUAUCAGCUUCUAAUCCAUUGUGGCCAUUAGGUGAUAUUUUCACAGCAGAAUCACACAUUUUUCUACAUUUCCCAGUUUAAUCCACGUAGUUGUUUUCUUUCUCAGUUCGGGCCGUAAGGACUUAUUCUCUUUGAUUCUGAUGACAUUUCUCAGGAUAUUUAUAAAUUUGCAUACUGGCUGCAAACAGCUCAGGAUCACUUCAGAGAAGUGUUUUUCUGUGGAAUGAAAAAUGCUACCGAUUAAGUAGUCCCAGGAGUGGGGUGGACUCUGGGCUUUCCCCAGUAGUUUGAUAGGUUUCUUCUCAGUUUGGACAGAAACUAUAGUUAGCCAGCCAUCAACUUUAGUCUGUUUCUUUACAGUGAGACUAUCCCUGGGUUCGGGGACAGACCUCCGAUUUGCAAGGACGCUGGAAAUUCUGAGCGCCUUGGACAUUUGCAGCAGCAUUGAAAUAGAAAUGCAUCGACCCUUAAAAGACUCUCUGAAGCAGAUAUUUCAGAAGGAGAAAGGAACCUACGGCCCCCAAAGAGCAGAGUAUACACAGAGCUGGCAGUACUGAGUAUCAUACAGAGUAAUAAUUUCACAUGUGAAGGUAAUUCAUUACAUUAAAACAUUCACUGGCUUUAGUUUAUUUAAGCCUCUGGGACUAACACAGCACAUUUCUAAAUAUUAUGGGUUUUGUAAAGGUGCAUGACGAAUAAGCAGACUGCCAGUGUGCUGGGAAAGUGAUAAAAAUCAGCGCUAAGCUUACUCACGGCUUUCUUUGGAGUGUAUAUUUAUGUGGUGAUGUCAGCACGGUAUCCUGCGGAUGGCUAAAGGUCAUGUUCUGUGUUCAUCUGCGCAGGAUUUAGAAACUCUCGAACAGCCUUGCGAGAGAAAAAUGGCCAGCUGAAUCCGAGCACGGCUGCCCCCAUCCCGGUGCCGGUCGCCCCACCGCAAAAGAACUGAACAAAGAAAUCCAUCUUGAAACGAACUCAAAACCGCAGCAGCUCCGUCUUUGGCCACGUGAGUUAUGUGAGUGAUUGAGGCUGGCUCCAGUGUC
Molecule: long non-coding RNA, 1656 nt
Filed under: Felis catus (domestic cat)
Lineage: Eukaryota; Metazoa; Chordata; Mammalia; Carnivora; Felidae
Description: lncRNA (ENSFCAG00000047226.1)
Source: RNAcentral